Molecule: unclassified non-coding RNA, 215 nt
Filed under: Ascomycota sp.
Lineage: Eukaryota; Fungi; Ascomycota
Description: partial contains small subunit ribosomal RNA, internal transcribed spacer 1, and 5.8S ribosomal RNA
Rfam family: Eukaryotic small subunit ribosomal RNA (bases 1-47)
Source: RNAcentral
AAAGUCGUAACAAGGUCUCCGUUGGUGAACCAGCGGAGGGAUCAUUACAGAGUUUCCACGCUCAGACCCGACGCGAACCCGAAACUGUUGCUUCGGCGGGCCGCCGGCCUUGCUGCCGCGUCCGCCGAAGGUCUACACUAGGCUCUUUGUUUACUUGGUAUCUGAAUACGCUUCUAAACCAGUCAAAACUUUCAACAACGGAUCUCUUGGUUCUG